Molecule: ribosomal RNA, 253 nt
Filed under: uncultured bacterium
Lineage: Bacteria
Description: partial 16S ribosomal RNA
Rfam family: Bacterial small subunit ribosomal RNA
Source: RNAcentral
UACGGAGGGUGCAAACGUUGCUCGGAAUCAUUGGGCGUAAAGCGCACGUAGGCGGCCUGAUAAGUCGGGUGUGAAAGCCCUGGGCUCAACCCAGGAAGUGCACUCGAAACUGUCAGGCUUGAAUAUGGAAGAGGGUCGCGGAAUUCCCGGUGUAGAGGUGAAAUUCGUAGAUAUCGGGAGGAACACCAGUGGCGAAGGCGGCGACCUGGACCAGCACUGACACUGAGGCACGAAAGCGUGGGGAGCAAACAGG